This 73-nucleotide transfer RNA is filed under the name Felis catus (domestic cat). It matches the Rfam family "tRNA". From Rfam's summary of the family: Transfer RNA (tRNA) molecules are approximately 80 nucleotides in length. Their secondary structure includes four short double-helical elements and three loops (D, anti-codon, and T loops). Lineage: Eukaryota; Metazoa; Chordata; Mammalia; Carnivora; Felidae. The record is from Rfam by way of RNAcentral. RNAcentral also lists the same sequence under 5 other names.
GUCUGGCUGGCUCAGUUGGUAGAACAUGUGACUCUUAAUCUCAGGGUUGUGAGUUCAAGCCCCACAUUGGACA